GACGAACGCUGGCGGCGUGCUUAACACAUGCAAGUCGAACGGAAAGGCCCUGCUUUUGUGUGGUUCUCGAGUGGCGAACGGGUGAGUAACACGUGAGUAACCUGCCCUUGACUUUGGGAUAACUUCAGGAAACUGGGUCUAAUACCGGAUAGGAGCUCCUGCUGCAUGGUGGGGGUUGGAAAGUUUCGGCGGUUGGGGAUGGACUCGCGGCUUAUCAGCUUGUUUGUGGGGUAGUGGCUUACCAAGGCUUUGACGGGUAGCCGGCCUGAGAGGGUGACCGGCGACAUGGGGACUGAGAGACGGCCCAGACUCCUACGGGAGGCAGCAGUGGGGAAUAUUGCACAAUGGGCGGAAGCCUGAUGCAGCAACGCUGCGUGCGGGAUGACGGCCUUCGGGUUGUGAACCGCUUUCGCCUGUGACGAAGCGUGAGUGACGGUAAUGGGUAAAGAAGCACCGGCUAACUACGUG
This 468-nucleotide ribosomal RNA is filed under the name uncultured bacterium. Its description in RNAcentral is "partial 16S ribosomal RNA". It matches the Rfam family "Bacterial small subunit ribosomal RNA", at positions 28 to 507 of the family's 1533-position model. The record is from RNAcentral.